RNAcentral lists this long non-coding RNA (2255 nucleotides) under Chrysolophus pictus (golden pheasant). Its description in RNAcentral is "lncRNA (ENSCPIG00010014952.1)". Lineage: Eukaryota; Metazoa; Chordata; Aves; Galliformes; Phasianidae. The record is from RNAcentral.
AUGAGGGUCUCGCUGUCCUCUAUGGGGUCUCACUGUCCCUAUGAGGGUCUCGCUGUCCUCUAUGGGGUCUCACUGUCCCCUAUGGGGUCUCAUUGUCCCUAUGAGGGUCUCACUGUCCUCUAUGGGGUCUCAUUGUCCCCUAUAAGGCUUGGGGGGUCUCACUGUCCCUAUGAGGGUCUCACUUUCCCCUAUGGGGUCUCACUGUCCCCUGUGGAGUCUCACUGUCCUCUAUGGGGUCUCACUGUCCCUAUGAGGGUCUCCCUGUGGAUGAGGAGCUGGUUUGGGAUGAAGACCUGCUUUGGGAGCUCAGCGGGUGCCUGCAUGACCUCGUGGGGCCUUCCAACCUUACCCCCUUUGCCCCCCCUCCACCCCCCCACCCCGUACCUGUAGCACAUCGUCACCCCUCCCCGGGGCCGUUGCUCCCCCUGCUGUUGGCGCUGCCAUGCGCAGCUCUGUUCCAGCUGCUGUUGGUGCUGUUGGUGUUGCUGCUGUUGCUGCUGUUGCUGCUGUUGGUGUUGGUGCUGUUGGCGCGGUUGGUGUUGCUGCUGUUGCUGCUGUUGCUGGUGCAGCCAUACGCAGAUCUGUACGAGUUGUUGAUGCUGUUGUUCCUGUUGCUGUUGGUGCUGUUGGUGUUGGUGCUGUUGGUGUUGAUGCUGCUGUCGCUGCUGGUGCUGCCAUACGCGGAUCUGUGCGAGCUGGUGGUGCUGUUGGUGCUGGUGCUGUUGGUGCUGCUGGUGCUGUUGGUGCUGGUGGUGCUGUUGGUGCUGGUGGUGCUGUUGGUGCUGGUGGUGCUGUUGGUGCUGGUGCUGUUGGUGCUGGUGCUGUUGUUGUUGGUGCUGUUGGUGGUGGUGGUGGUGCCACACACAGGUCUGUACGAGCUGCUGGUGCUGUUGGUGCUGUUGCUGUUGGUGUUGGUGUUGGUGCUGUUGCUGCUGGUGCUGCUAGUGCCGUACACAGACCUGUAGGAGCUGUUGGUGUUGGUGCUGUUGUUGCUGUUGUUGCUGCUGGUGGUGUUGUUGCCAUACACAGACCUGUACCAGGUGGGUGUGAGCGGGCAGAAGCGCCGUGUGUGCGCGCGGUCGCGCGAGGCUCCGCACUGCGGGCAGACGUAGCUGCGCAGGAUGGGGCAGAGCACGCGGCCGCGGGCGUCCCGCAGGGCAUGGCUGGAGAACACCGCGCGGGACUCGCCGUUGUGACGGCAGAACGCGCAGCUGGGCGGCGACGGAGGGCGGCCCGACACAACACGGCCUGCUGACACAGCCUGUGGUGACACAACACGUGGUGACACAACACGGCCUGCUGACACAGCCUGUCCUGGUGACACAACACGUGGUGACACAGCCCAUCCUGGUGACACAACACGGCCUGCUGACACAGCCUGUCCUGGUGACACAACCUGUCGUGGUGACACAGCCCGUCCUGGUGACACAACACCUCGUGGUGACACAACACGUCCCGGUGACACAACCUGUCGUGGUGACACAACCGGUCCUGGUGAUACAACCCGUCGUGGUGACACAACCUGUCGUGGUGAUGCAACACGUCGUGGUGACACAGCCCGUCCUGGUGACAGAACCCGUCCCGGUGACACAGCCCGUCCCGGUGACACAACGCGUCCUGCUGACACAACCGGUCGUGGUGAUAAAAUGGGUCCUGCUGACACAACAGGUCGUGGUGACACAACCGGUCCUGGUGAUACAACCCGUCCUGCUGACACAACAGGUCGCGGUGAUGCAGUGCGUCCUGGUGACACGGAGGGUCGCGGUGACGCAACGGGUCGUGGUGACACAACAGCUGCUGGUGACACGAUGGAUCCUGGUGAUGCAGCGGGUCCUGGUGACACCGAGGGUCCCAGUGACACAACGGGUCGCGGUGAUGCAAUGGGUCGCGGUGACACAUCAGGUUGUGGUGACAUGGAGGGGCCUGGUGACACAGCAGGUCCUGGUGACACAGGAGGUCCUGGUGAUGCAACGAGUCGUGGUGACAUGAAGGGUGCUGGUGACACAGCGGGUGUUGGUGAGCUGCUGCGUGGCGCUGGCACGGUGAGCGACGGAGACGCAGCGGGUGACACCGACACACCUGGUGACAGUGACACAGAGUGAUGGCGGCACACCUGGUGACACCGAAUCACCUGGUGACACCGAAUCACCUGGUGACACUGAUGGUGACACCCGGCGACACCCACACAGCAGGUGAUGGUGAUUCACGAGGUGACGGUGGCGCCUGUUGAUGGUGACACCCGGUGACACCCACAC